UCCGGCUUAACGCCGGCAGUCUCCAUAGAGUGCCCAACUGAAUGGUGGCAACUAAGGACAAGGGUUGCGCUCGUUAAGGGACUUAACCCGACAUCUCACGAUACGAGCUGACGACAGCCAUGCAGCACCUGUCUCCCAGCCCCCGAAGGGGAAACCCUAUCUCUAGGGCUGUCUGGGGAUGUCAAACCCAGGUAAGGUUCUUCGCGUUGCAUCGAAUUAAACCACAUGCUCCACCGCUUGUGCGGGCCCCCGUCAAUUCCUUUGAGUUUUAACCUUGCGGCCGUACUUCCCAGGCGGGGUACUUAAUGCGUUAGCGUCGACACUGCAGGGGUCAAUUCCCGCAACAUCUAGUACCCAUCGUUUACGGCGUGGACUAC
Molecule: unclassified non-coding RNA, 377 nt
Filed under: uncultured Oligoflexales bacterium
Lineage: Bacteria; Pseudomonadati; Bdellovibrionota; Oligoflexia; Oligoflexales
Description: contains 16S-23S intergenic spacer region
Source: RNAcentral